Molecule: ribosomal RNA, 227 nt
Filed under: uncultured Pseudomonas sp.
Lineage: Bacteria; Pseudomonadati; Pseudomonadota; Gammaproteobacteria; Pseudomonadales; Pseudomonadaceae
Description: partial 16S ribosomal RNA
Rfam family: Bacterial small subunit ribosomal RNA
Source: RNAcentral
CUGCCUGGUAGUGGGGGACGAACGUUUCGAAAGGAACGCUAAUACCGCAUACGUCCUACGGAGAAAGCAGGGACCUUCGGGCCUUGCGCUAUCAGAUGAGCCUAGGUCGGAUUAGCUAGUUGGUGAGGUAAUGGCUCACCAAGGCGACGAUCCGUAACUGGUCUGAGAGGAUGAUCAGUCACACUGGAACUGAUACACGGUCCAGACUCCUACGGGAGGCAGCAGCC